Molecule: ribosomal RNA, 406 nt
Filed under: uncultured bacterium
Lineage: Bacteria
Description: partial 16S ribosomal RNA
Rfam family: Bacterial small subunit ribosomal RNA
Source: RNAcentral
AUUGAACGCUGGCGGCAGGCCUAACACAUGCAAGUCGAACGAGUGGCGGACGGGUGAGUAAUGUCUGGGAAACUGCCCGAUGGCGGGGGAUAACUACUGGAAACGGUAGCUAAUACCGCAUACCAUCGGAUGUGCCCAGAUGGGAUUAGCUAGUAGGUGGGGUAAAGGCUCACCUAGGCGACGAUCCCUAGCUGGUCUGAGAGGAUGACCAGCCACACUGGAACUGAGACACGGCCCAGACUCCUACGGGAGGCAGCAGUGGGGAAUAUUGCACAAUGGGGGCAAGCCUGAUUCAGCCAUGCCGCGUGUAUGAAGAAGGCCUUCGGGUUGUAAAGUACUUUCAGCGGGGAGGCGUUACCCGCAGAAGAAGCACCGGCUAACUCCGUGCCAGCAGCCGCGGUAAUAC